CACCAGCGCCUCGAGUGGUACCCACGAAUAUUGGGCCUAAAGCGUCCGUAGCUGGACCUCUAAGUCCGCUGUGAAAUGUUGGGGCUCAACCCUAACGCGUGCAGCGGAUACUGUUGGUCUUGGGAACGGGGGAGGGUCGGGGUACUUCCAGGGUAGGGGUAAAAUCCGUUGAGCCUGGAAGGACCACCAGUGGCGAAGGCGCCGAUCCAAAACGUGUCCGACGGUGAGGGACGAAAGCUGGGGGAGCGAA
Molecule: ribosomal RNA, 250 nt
Filed under: uncultured bacterium
Lineage: Bacteria
Description: partial 16S ribosomal RNA
Rfam family: Archaeal small subunit ribosomal RNA
Source: RNAcentral